UACGAAGGGGGCUAGCGUUGUUCGGAUUUACUGGGCGUAAAGCGCACGUAGGCGGAUCGUUAAGUCGGGGGUGAAAUCCUGGAGCUCAACUCCAGAACUGCCCUCGAUACUGGCGAUCUUGAGUCCGGAAGAGGUAAGUGGAACUCCUAGUGUAGAGGUGGAAUUCGUAGAUAUUAGGAAGAACACCAGUGGCGAAGGCG
Molecule: ribosomal RNA, 200 nt
Filed under: uncultured bacterium
Lineage: Bacteria
Description: partial 16S ribosomal RNA
Rfam family: Bacterial small subunit ribosomal RNA
Source: RNAcentral